RNAcentral lists this ribosomal RNA (717 nucleotides) under uncultured Moraxella sp. RNAcentral's name for it is "bacterial SSU rRNA". It matches the Rfam family "Bacterial small subunit ribosomal RNA", at positions 38 to 754 of the family's 1533-position model. Lineage: Bacteria; Pseudomonadati; Pseudomonadota; Gammaproteobacteria; Moraxellales; Moraxellaceae. The record is from RNAcentral.
GGCGGCAGGCUUAACACAUGCAAGUCGAACGAAGUUAGGAAGCUUGCUUCUGAUACUUAGUGGCGGACGGGUGAGUAAUGCUUAGGAAUCUGCCUAGUAGUGGGGGAUAACUUGGGGAAACCCAAGCUAAUACCGCAUACGACCUACGGGUGAAAGGGGGCUUUUAGCUCUCGCUAUUAGAUGAGCCUAAGUCGGAUUAGCUGGUUGGUGGGGUAAAGGCCUACCAAGGCGACGAUCUGUAGCUGGUCUGAGAGGAUGAUCAGCCACACUGGGACUGAGACACGGCCCAGACUCCUACGGGAGGCAGCAGUGGGGAAUAUUGGACAAUGGGCGAAAGCCUGAUCCAGCCAUGCCGCGUGUGUGAAGAAGGCCUUUUGGUUGUAAAGCACUUUAAGUGGGGAGGAAAAGCUUAUGGUUAAUACCCAUAAGCCCUGACGUUACCCACAGAAUAAGCACCGGCUAACUCUGUGCCAGCAGCCGCGGUAAUACAGAGGGUGCAAGCGUUAAUCGGAAUUACUGGGCGUAAAGCGCGCGUAGGUGGUUAUUUAAGUCAGAUGUGAAAGCCCCGGGCUUAACCUGGGAACUGCAUCUGAUACUGGAUAACUAGAGUAGGUGAGAGGGGAGUAGAAUUCCAGGUGUAGCGGUGAAAUGCGUAGAGAUCUGGAGGAAUACCGAUGGCGAAGGCAGCUCCCUGGCAUCAUGCUGACACUGAGGUGC